RNAcentral lists this ribosomal RNA (406 nucleotides) under uncultured bacterium. RNAcentral describes it as "partial 16S ribosomal RNA". It matches the Rfam family "Bacterial small subunit ribosomal RNA", at positions 30 to 526 of the family's 1533-position model. The record is from RNAcentral.
AUUGAACGCUGGCGGCAGGCCUAACACAUGCAAGUCGAGCGAGCGGCGGACGGGUGAGUAAUGUCUGGGAAACUACCUGAUGGAGAGGGAUACCUACUGGAAACGGUAGCUAAUAUCCCAUACCAUCAGAUGUGCCCAGAUGGGAUUAGCUCGUAGGUGGGGUAACGGCUCACCGAGGAGACAAUCCCUAGCUGGUCUGAGAGGAUGACACGCCAACCGGGAACUGAGACACGUGCCCGCCUCGUACGGUAGGACGCAGUGGGGAUGAUUGCACAAUGGGCGCAAGCCUGAUGCAGCCAUGAGGCGUGUAUGAAGAAGGCCUUCGGGUUGUAAAGUACUUUCAGCGUGGAGGCGUUACCCGCAGAAGAAGCACCGGCUAACUCCGUGCCAGCAGCCGCGGUAAUUC